RNAcentral lists this ribosomal RNA (582 nucleotides) under Leotiomycetes sp. C_2_BESC_319d. Its description in RNAcentral is "eukaryotic LSU rRNA". It matches the Rfam family "Eukaryotic large subunit ribosomal RNA", at positions 1 to 588 of the family's 3401-position model. The record is from RNAcentral. Lineage: Eukaryota; Fungi; Ascomycota; Leotiomycetes.
ACCUCGGAUCAGGUAGGGAUACCCGCUGAACUUAAGCAUAUCAAUAAGCGGAGGAAAAGAAACCAACAGGGAUUACCUCAGUAACGGCGAGUGAAGCGGUAACAGCUCAAAUUUGAAAUCUGGCUCUUUCAGGGUCCGAGUUGUAAUUUGUAGAAGAUGCUUUGGGUGUGGCCCUGGUCUAAGUUCCUUGGAACAGGACGUCAUAGAGGGUGAGAAUCCCGUAUGUGACUAGGUGCUUUCGCCCGUGUAAAGCUCUUUCGACGAGUCGAGUUGUUUGGGAAUGCAGCUCAAAAUGGGUGGUAAAUUUCAUCUAAAGCUAAAUAUUGGCCAGAGACCGAUAGCGCACAAGUAGAGUGAUCGAAAGAUGAAAAGCACUUUGGAAAGAGAGUUAAACAGUACGUGAAAUUGUUGAAAGGGAAGCGCUUGCAACCAGACUUAGUUGCGGCCGAUCAUCUAGGGUUCUCCCUGGUGCACUCGGUCGUAUCUAGGCCAGCAUCGGUUUGGGUGGUGGGAUAAAGGCCUUGGGAAUGUAGCUUCUUUCGGGGAGUGUUAUAGCCCUCGGUGCAAUGCCGCCUACCUGGA